CGCUUAACUUCGAACUCGGGUAUAGGUAACGUCAUUUGGCUAACAACAUGCGCGUGGGUUUGUUGCUGUGUCUUCUUGUCGCGCUUGCGCAGGCCUCUUAUCGACCUCCCAAGGAUAAAAAACCUUGGGGCCUGAUGAUUCCUCCAGAAACAUUUGAGACAACACUUGAGGAUUGUGAGAAGCAACUCCAAAAAGU
Long non-coding RNA from Cydia splendana, 196 nucleotides. RefSeq lists it as uncharacterized. The record is from RefSeq and is a predicted model, not a curated record. NCBI's taxonomy places the organism in Eukaryota, Metazoa, Arthropoda, Insecta, Lepidoptera, Tortricidae. The transcript has 3 exons.